ACACCGGCGGCCCGAGUGGUGAUCGUGAUUAUUGGGUCUAAAGGGUCCGUAGCCGGUUUGGUCAGUCCUCAGGGAAAUCUGAUAGCUCAACUAUUAGGCUUUCGGGGGAUACUGCCAGACUUGGAACCGGGAGAGGUAAGAGGUACUACAGGGGUAGGAGUGAAAUCUUGUAAUCCCUGUGGGACCACCUGUGGCGAAGGCGUCUUACCAGAACGGGUUCGACGGUGAGGGACGAAAGCUGGGGGCACGAACCGGAUUAGAUACCCGGGUAGUCCCAGCCGUAAACGAUGCUCGCUAGGUGUCAGGCAUGGCGCGACCGUGUCUGGUGCCGCAGGGAAGCCGUGAAGCGAGCCACCUGGGAAGUACGGCCGCAAGGCUGAAACUUAAAUGAAUUGGCGGGG
This 401-nucleotide ribosomal RNA is filed under the name uncultured bacterium. RNAcentral's name for it is "partial 16S ribosomal RNA". It matches the Rfam family "Archaeal small subunit ribosomal RNA", at positions 473 to 873 of the family's 1478-position model. The record is from RNAcentral.